UGCAGUCGAACGAUGAAGCCCAGCUUGCUGGGUGGAUUAGUGGCGAACGGGUGAGUAACACGUGAGUAACCUGCCCUCGACUCCAGGAUAAGCCCGGGAAACUGGGUCUAAUACUGGAUAUUCAAUUUCCAUCGCAUGGUGGUUUUUGGAAAGGAUUCUGGUCGAGGAGGGACUCGCGGCCUAUCAGCUUGUUGGUGAGGUAAUGGCUCACCAAGGCGACGACGGGUAGCCGGCCUGAGAGGGUGACCGGCCACACUGGGACUGAGACACGGCCCAGACUCCUACGGGAGGCAGCAGUGGGGAAUAUUGCACAAUGGGCGAAAGCCUGAUGCAGCGACGCCGCGUGAGGGAUGACGGCCUUCGGGUUGUAAACCUCUUUCAGUAGGGAAGAAGCGAAAGUGACGGUACCUGCAGAAGAAGCGCCGGCUAACUACGUGCCAGCAGCCGCGGUAAUACGUAGGGCGCAAGCGUUAUCCGGAAUUAUUGGGCGUAAAGAGCUCGUAGGCGGUUUGUCGCGUCUGCCGUGAAAGUCCGGGGCUUAACUCCGGAUCUGCGGUGGGUACGGGCAGACUAGAGUGCUGUAGGGGAGACUGGAAUUCCUGGUGUAGCGGUGAAAUGCGCAGAUAUCAGGAGGAACACCGAUGGCGAAGGCAGGUCUCUGGGCAGUAACUGACGCUGAGGAGCGAAAGCAUGGGGAGCGAACAGGAUUAGAUACCCUGGUAGUCCAUGCCGUAAACGUUGGGCACUAGAUGUGGGGGACAUUCCACGUUCUCCGCGUCGUAGCUAACGCAUUAAGUGCCCCGCCUGGGGAGUACGGCCGCAAGGCUAAAACUCAAAGGAAUUGACGGGGGCCCGCACAAGCGGCGGAGCAUGCGGAUUAAUUCGAUGCAACGCGAAGAACCUUACCAAGGCUUGACAUGGACCGGAUCGGGCUAGAAAUAGUCUUUCCCUUCGGGGCUGGUUC
Molecule: ribosomal RNA, 964 nt
Filed under: Zhihengliuella halotolerans
Lineage: Bacteria; Bacillati; Actinomycetota; Actinomycetes; Micrococcales; Micrococcaceae
Description: bacterial SSU rRNA
Rfam family: Bacterial small subunit ribosomal RNA
Source: RNAcentral